RNAcentral lists this unclassified non-coding RNA (391 nucleotides) under soil metagenome. RNAcentral describes it as "partial contains 5.8S ribosomal RNA, internal transcribed spacer 2, and large subunit ribosomal RNA". The stretch from base 1 to 122 matches the Rfam family "5.8S ribosomal RNA", at positions 35 to 154 of the family's 154-position model. The record is from RNAcentral.
GAUGAAGAACGUAGCGAAAUGCGAUACUUGGUGUGAAUUGCAGAAUCCCGUGAACCAUCGAGUCUUUGAACGCAAGUUGCGCCCGAAGCCAUUAGGCCGAGGGCACGCCUGCCUGGGCGUCACACGUCGUUGCCCCCCCAUCUACUCCUUCGGGAUUGCGGGGGGCGGAUGAUGGCCUCCCGUGCGCCUCGUCGCGCGGUUGGCAUAAAUGCCAAGUCCUCGGCGACGCACGCCACGACAAUCGGUGGUUGCGAAACCUCGGUUGCCCAUCGUGUGCGGUCGUCGCGCAUCGAGGGCUCGAAAAAAUUGCCGGGCUCCGGCUCGGCUUUCAACGCGACCCCAGGUCAGGCGGGGUUACCCGCUGAAUUUAAGCAUAUCAAUAAGCGGAGGA